RNAcentral lists this ribosomal RNA (1545 nucleotides) under Salmonella enterica subsp. enterica serovar Derby. RNAcentral describes it as "bacterial SSU rRNA". It matches the Rfam family "Bacterial small subunit ribosomal RNA". Lineage: Bacteria; Pseudomonadati; Pseudomonadota; Gammaproteobacteria; Enterobacterales; Enterobacteriaceae. The record is from RNAcentral.
AAAUUGAAGAGUUUGAUCAUGGCUCAGAUUGAACGCUGGCGGCAGGCCUAACACAUGCAAGUCGAACGGUAACAGGAAGCAGCUUGCUGCUUUGCUGACGAGUGGCGGACGGGUGAGUAAUGUCUGGGAAACUGCCUGAUGGAGGGGGAUAACUACUGGAAACGGUGGCUAAUACCGCAUAACGUCGCAAGACCAAAGAGGGGGACCUUCGGGCCUCUUGCCAUCAGAUGUGCCCAGAUGGGAUUAGCUUGUUGGUGAGGUAACGGCUCACCAAGGCGACGAUCCCUAGCUGGUCUGAGAGGAUGACCAGCCACACUGGAACUGAGACACGGUCCAGACUCCUACGGGAGGCAGCAGUGGGGAAUAUUGCACAAUGGGCGCAAGCCUGAUGCAGCCAUGCCGCGUGUAUGAAGAAGGCCUUCGGGUUGUAAAGUACUUUCAGCGGGGAGGAAGGUGUUGUGGUUAAUAACCACAGCAAUUGACGUUACCCGCAGAAGAAGCACCGGCUAACUCCGUGCCAGCAGCCGCGGUAAUACGGAGGGUGCAAGCGUUAAUCGGAAUUACUGGGCGUAAAGCGCACGCAGGCGGUCUGUCAAGUCGGAUGUGAAAUCCCCGGGCUCAACCUGGGAACUGCAUUCGAAACUGGCAGGCUUGAGUCUUGUAGAGGGGGGUAGAAUUCCAGGUGUAGCGGUGAAAUGCGUAGAGAUCUGGAGGAAUACCGGUGGCGAAGGCGGCCCCCUGGACAAAGACUGACGCUCAGGUGCGAAAGCGUGGGGAGCAAACAGGAUUAGAUACCCUGGUAGUCCACGCCGUAAACGAUGUCUACUUGGAGGUUGUGCCCUUGAGGCGUGGCUUCCGGAGCUAACGCGUUAAGUAGACCGCCUGGGGAGUACGGCCGCAAGGUUAAAACUCAAAUGAAUUGACGGGGGCCCGCACAAGCGGUGGAGCAUGUGGUUUAAUUCGAUGCAACGCGAAGAACCUUACCUGGUCUUGACAUCCACGGAAGUUUUCAGAGAUGAGAAUGUGCCUUCGGGAACCGUGAGACAGGUGCUGCAUGGCUGUCGUCAGCUCGUGUUGUGAAAUGUUGGGUUAAGUCCCGCAACGAGCGCAACCCUUAUCCUUUGUUGCCAGCGAUUAGGUCGGGAACUCAAAGGAGACUGCCAGUGAUAAACUGGAGGAAGGUGGGGAUGACGUCAAGUCAUCAUGGCCCUUACGACCAGGGCUACACACGUGCUACAAUGGCGCAUACAAAGAGAAGCGACCUCGCGAGAGCAAGCGGACCUCAUAAAGUGCGUCGUAGUCCGGAUUGGAGUCUGCAACUCGACUCCAUGAAGUCGGAAUCGCUAGUAAUCGUGGAUCAGAAUGCCACGGUGAAUACGUUCCCGGGCCUUGUACACACCGCCCGUCACACCAUGGGAGUGGGUUGCAAAAGAAGUAGGUAGCUUAACCUUCGGGAGGGCGCUUACCACUUUGUGAUUCAUGACUGGGGUGAAGUCGUAACAAGGUAACCGUAGGGGAACCUGCGGUUGGAUCACCUCCUUACCU